Mustela putorius furo (domestic ferret) is the source of this 163-nucleotide small nuclear RNA. Its record names the gene U1. It matches the Rfam family "U1 spliceosomal RNA". From Rfam's summary of the family: U1 is a small nuclear RNA (snRNA) component of the spliceosome (involved in pre-mRNA splicing). Its 5' end forms complementary base pairs with the 5' splice junction, thus defining the 5' donor site of an intron. NCBI's taxonomy places the organism in Eukaryota, Metazoa, Chordata, Mammalia, Carnivora, Mustelidae. The record is from Ensembl.
AUACUUACCCGGCAGGGGAGACACCAUGAUCAAGCAGGUCAUUUUCCCAGGAUGAGGCUUGUCCAUUGCACUACGGACAUGUGACCCCUGUGAUUUCCCCAAAUGUGGGAAACUCGACUCCAUAAUUUAUGGUAGUGGGGGACUGCGUUCGCGCUUUCCCCAG